RNAcentral lists this unclassified non-coding RNA (195 nucleotides) under fungal sp. RNAcentral's name for it is "partial internal transcribed spacer region". The stretch from base 1 to 46 matches the Rfam family "Eukaryotic small subunit ribosomal RNA", at positions 1786 to 1831 of the family's 1831-position model. The record is from RNAcentral. Lineage: Eukaryota; Fungi.
AAGUCGUAACAAGGUAACCGUAGGUGAACCUGCGGUUGGAUCAUUAAAAAACAGGGUUCAGAAAAGAACCAUGAAAACCUGUGCAAAAGUGUUAAUUGGGGUCAAUAGACGCAAUUUUUUAACUCUAAAUUUUAGUUGUUAUUAUAAAUUAUAAAUAUUAUAAAACAACUUUUGACAACGGAUCUCUUGGCUCUC